RNAcentral lists this ribosomal RNA (253 nucleotides) under uncultured bacterium. Its description in RNAcentral is "partial 16S ribosomal RNA". It matches the Rfam family "Bacterial small subunit ribosomal RNA", at positions 524 to 776 of the family's 1533-position model. The record is from RNAcentral.
UACGGAGGAUCCAAGCGUUAUCCGGAUUUAUUGGGUUUAAAGGGUGCGUAGGCGGCUUUUUAAGUCAGGGGUGAAAGACGGUGGCUCAACCAUCGCAGUGCCCUUGAUACUGAAGAGCUUGAAUGGACUAGAGGUAGGCGGAAUGUGACAAGUAGCGGUGAAAUGCAUAGAUAUGUCACAGAACACCGAUUGCGAAGGCAGCUUACUAUGGUUUAAUUGACGCUGAGGCACGAAAGCGUGGGGAUCAAACAGG